This 250-nucleotide long non-coding RNA is filed under the name Phoenix dactylifera (date palm). Its description in RNAcentral is "long non-coding RNA (PDAC_LNC003650)". Lineage: Eukaryota; Viridiplantae; Streptophyta; Magnoliopsida; Arecales; Arecaceae. The record is from RNAcentral.
GGUCGAAGCGCGUAGACGCUGUCCCAAAGAAGUAUUUGCCCCCACGUACGGGUCACCCGGCAAUCCUUCUCGGAGAUACGACGACCCUACAACUUCUUCUUCGGCACGUCUCGGAAGAAGUCAAAGCGAACCCGAUCGGACUUGCAGAUCCAGCAAAGAACGGAAUGAAAAGAACUAAAUAAACUGAAUAAAAAUGUAAAAAUAAAAUUUGGAAGUGGCUAAGAGGGAGAAGAAUUUUUUUCAGAAUUUU